UGGAGCACGUGGUUUAAUUCGACGCAACGCGAAGAACCUUACCAGGGCUUGACAUCCCCUGACCGCGUAUGAAAGUACGUUUUCACCCUCGGGUGACAGGGAGACAGGUGGUGCAUGGUUGUCGUCAGCUCGUGUCGUGAGAUGUUGGGUUAAGUCCCGCAACGAGCGCAACCCCUACGUUUAGUUGCUAACAGGUGAAGCUGAGCACUCUAGACGAACUGCCGUUGACAAAACGGAGGAAGGUGGGAUGACGUCAAAUCAUCAUGCCCCUUAUGUUCUGGGCUACACACGUGCUACAAUGGCCGGUACAGACGGAGGCGAAGCCGCGAGGCGGAGCAAAUCCGAAAAAGCCGGUCUCAGUUCGGAUUGCAGGCUGCAAUUCGCCUGCAUGAAGUCGGAAUCGCUAGUAAUCGCAGGCCAGCAUACUGCGGUGAAUACGUUCCCGGGCCUU
RNAcentral lists this ribosomal RNA (451 nucleotides) under uncultured Pelotomaculum sp. RNAcentral describes it as "bacterial SSU rRNA". It matches the Rfam family "Bacterial small subunit ribosomal RNA", at positions 933 to 1382 of the family's 1533-position model. Lineage: Bacteria; Bacillati; Bacillota; Clostridia; Eubacteriales; Desulfotomaculaceae. The record is from RNAcentral.